UGGGGAAUUUUGGACAAUGGGCGAAAGCCUGAUCCAGCAAUGCCGCGUGUGUGAAGAAGGCCUUCGGGUUGUAAAGCACUUUUGUCCGGAAAGAAAUCCUUGGCUCUAAUACAGUCGGGGGAUGACGGUACCGGAAGAAUAAGCACCGGCUAACUACGUGCCAGCAGCCGCGGUAAUACGUAGGGUGCAAGCGUUAAUCGGAAUUACUGGGCGUAAAGCGUGCGCAGGCGGUUUGCUAAGACCGAUGUGAAAUCCCCGGGCUCAACCUGGGAACUGCAUUGGUGACUGGCAGGCUAGAGUAUGGCAGAGGGGGGUAGAAUUCCACGUGUAGCAGUGAAAUGCGUAGAGAUGUGGAGGAAUACCGAUGGCGAAGGCAGCCCCCUGGGCCAAUACUGACGCUCAUGCACGAAAGCGUGGGGAGCAAACAGGAUUAGAUACCCUGGUAGUCCACGCCCUAAACGAUGUCAACUAGUUGUUGGGGGACUUCAUUUUCCUUAGUAACGUAGCUAACGCGUGAAGUUGACCGCCUGGGGAGUACGGUCGCAAGAUUAAAACUUAAAUGAAUUGA
This 568-nucleotide ribosomal RNA is filed under the name uncultured bacterium. RNAcentral's name for it is "partial 16S ribosomal RNA". It matches the Rfam family "Bacterial small subunit ribosomal RNA", at positions 355 to 913 of the family's 1533-position model. The record is from RNAcentral.